RNAcentral lists this ribosomal RNA (175 nucleotides) under uncultured bacterium. RNAcentral describes it as "partial 16S ribosomal RNA". It matches the Rfam family "Bacterial small subunit ribosomal RNA", at positions 1326 to 1500 of the family's 1533-position model. The record is from RNAcentral.
UCGGAGUUGCUAGUAAUCCCGAAUCAGCAUGUCGGGGUGAAUGCGUUCCCGGGUCUUGUACACACCGCCCGUCACGCCAUGGGAGUCGGAAGUGCCCAAAGUCGGUGACCUAACCGCAAGGAAGGAGCCGCCUAAGGUAAUGCCGAUGACUGGGGUGAAGUCGUAACAAGGUAGC